UUACCUGUUACAUCUACUUUAUCAAAUGUAUUGUCUGGACAUUAAGUUAAGUUGGUUGUUGCUGUUGCUUCAUUGCUAAUAUUGGUCACUUUUAGCUUCAAUGCUAAUGUUUGUUAGCAUUUUGCUUCAGUGUUGGGUUUUUGGUUUUGUGGCUGUUAGCUUCAGUGCUAAUCGUUUUAGCUCCAUCGUCAGUGCUGCCUUUAAUUACCUUCUAACUUUAGAAGAUGGAGAGCAGGCAGAGUGGGGAUCCGGUACCUGAUGCUGCAGCACGCUGACCGGAUUGUUUGAGCUGAUUGGACUCUGGAGAUUCUGGGUUCAGAGGCUCGAGGACGGGGACGGACGGGCAGAUGGACGGAUGGACACUGGAUGUGGGCAGAUGUACUGAGACCUCCAAAGACCCUCAGAGGAACCGAGGCGGACCCAGAGGCUGGCAGUGUGCCGCAGGUCAGCAGCUUCAGUUCUCAGGUUGCUCCUCCUGCAGAAAUCCUGCUGCCGUCUGUUGAGAGUUUGUGUGCAAACAUGUCGUAUUGGCAGCCAAUCAGUCGGAUUUCUUCCGCCGAAACGUGGCAGGAAACCCAGCAGUCUGUCUCUGAGAUCACAGCGAACGCUUGUCAUUUUCAAACCCGGACCGUUGGAGAGUCCAUUCAGCAGGAUUUAUCUUUGGACUUGACACAGACGUUUUGUUUAUGUGGCAGGAUCGUUCUGAUCAGCAGUGCGGCCGGAGUAUCGGAUUACCUUUCCUCAGUCCUUGAGCCGACGUUUUCCAAGAAUAAAUCGAAUUAAAUUUUCACUUUUCCGC
This is a long non-coding RNA of Poecilia reticulata (guppy), 799 nucleotides long. RefSeq lists it as uncharacterized. The record is from RefSeq and is a predicted model, not a curated record. NCBI's taxonomy places the organism in Eukaryota, Metazoa, Chordata, Actinopteri, Cyprinodontiformes, Poeciliidae.